Molecule: long non-coding RNA, 332 nt
Organism: Suricata suricatta (meerkat)
Lineage: Eukaryota; Metazoa; Chordata; Mammalia; Carnivora; Herpestidae
Exons: 2
Source: RefSeq, a predicted model, not a curated record
CCAGGAAGCACUUCUCUGUCUUCUUGUGUAGGCAAUCAGUGCCACCACCACCACGUCUAUCUCCACCACAACUGCCAUCAAGUGUUGGCUGCUACAGUAGGCCAGGACCUGUGCUAGGCACUUUAUGAUGUUUCUUCAAAUCCUCACAGACACCUAUGAGGCAGAGACAACAUUUUGAAGAACAUUUAGAAGGAAGACAUAAAAGGCUAACAUCUUUGGAGAAGAGAAAUAUGUGUUAUCUGAGCAGAAUAACCUGGACCAUCAUUUGUAAAUGACAUAAUAAUCAUCAGAAAUGCUGAAAACCAAAGAAUAGCAGGUUUUUGCUUUCCAAA